RNAcentral lists this non-coding RNA (21 nucleotides) under Caenorhabditis elegans. Lineage: Eukaryota; Metazoa; Nematoda; Chromadorea; Rhabditida; Rhabditidae. The record is from RNAcentral.
UCUUGUGUUUCCGGUUUCAAA